Bos taurus (domestic cattle) is the source of this 1001-nucleotide long non-coding RNA. The record is from Ensembl. Lineage: Eukaryota; Metazoa; Chordata; Mammalia; Artiodactyla; Bovidae.
UUAGCACAGUGUCUAUCUAGCACACAGGAAGCAUCCGAUAUACAGCAGCUAUUAUUAUCAAAAUAUGUACUUGUCAAGCUGUGAGAGUGAACUAACAUGUGAAAAGCACUUAGAAUCGCACACGGCAGAUGCCAAUCACACUACAGCAAUCAUGUAUAUGCAAGUUCGUGUUCCCCUGUGCGCAGUGAGAGCAGAUAAACUGAAAUGUCAGAGUCUGGGGCAGAGAAAGGUUUAUUGCAAGGUCACACAAGGAGACGAGGUGGCUCAUGCCCUGAAAAGCCCUGAGCUCCCUGAAAGGUUUUGGCAGAGCAUUUUUAAAGGGCAGGUGAAGAGGAGGUCGAAAGGUAGUGAUCAGCUUGUGCACGGCCAAUUCUCUGAUUGGCUGAUGUUGAGACAGUCAGGUGGUAUCACAGAGGUUAUCAGUCCUUGGGCUCCAGGAGGCCUGAGGCUGUGUGCUCAUGGUCAGCAAGUACUUCCUCCAUCUGAGGGGGCAGGUGGUUCCCAUCUGCAAAACAGCUCAGGAAAUGUCCAUCAGAUACUAUUAUCUAGGUACUCCAGAUAGGGGCUAAAGCAGAGGGUAUGGCGGCGGGGGCCGUGGUGGUCUGUCCUGGGAAGGCCCCAUAGGGUUCUUGUUGUUCAGUCUCUAAGCCCUGUCCAACUUUUCGCAACCCCAUGAACUGCAGCACGCCAUGCUUCCCUGUCCUUCACUUCCUACCGGAGUUUUUGUUCAGAUUCACGUCCACUGAGUCGGUGAUGCCAUCCAACCAUAGGGUCCUGCUUGGUUAUAAUCAUGUGAUGAUGAUAAUGAGGAAGAGGGUAUAACGAUGAUGAGCUUCCAUUCCCUUUUCUCUCAAUAGAAUUGUCUUCCUAUGAUGAGACUUCAGGAGGAUUAAGGAGGAGGUGAUUCACCAUCAGACCUAAGGAUGAACUUACUAAUAUUAAAAGCCAUGUAUGGAUGUGAGAGUUGGACCAUAAAGAAAGCUGAGUGCCAAAGAAUUGAU